GACGAACGCUGGCGGCGUGCCUAAUACAUGCAAGUUGAGCGAUGAAGAUUGGUGCUUGCACCAAUUUGAAGAGCAGCGAACGGGUGAGUAACGCGUGGGGAAUCUGCCUUUGAGCGGGGGACAACAUUUGGAAACGAAUGCUAAUACCGCAUAACAACUUUAAACAUAAGUUUUAAGUUUGAAAGAUGCAAUUGCAUCACUCAAAGAUGAUCCCGCGUUGUAUUAGCUAGUUGGUGAGGUAAAGGCUCACCAAGGCGAUGAUACAUAGCCGACCUGAGAGGGUGAUCGGCCACAUUGGGACUGAGACACGGCCCAAACUCCUACGGGAGGCAGCAGUAGGGAAUCUUCGGCAAUAGACGAAAGUCUGACCGAGCAACGCCGCGUGAGUGAAGAAGGUUUUCGGAUCGUAAAACUCUGUUGGUAGAGAAGAACGUUGGUGAGAGUGGAAAGCUCAUCAAGUGACGGUAACUACCCAGAAAGCGACGGCUAACUACGUG
RNAcentral lists this ribosomal RNA (497 nucleotides) under uncultured bacterium. RNAcentral's name for it is "partial 16S ribosomal RNA". It matches the Rfam family "Bacterial small subunit ribosomal RNA", at positions 28 to 507 of the family's 1533-position model. The record is from RNAcentral.